AUAUGCCUACGGGGCGCAGCAGUGAGGAAUAUUGGUCAAUGGUCGGGAGACUGAACCAGCCAAGCCGCGUGAGGGAGGAAGGUACAGAGUAUCGUAAACCUCUUUUGUCAGGGAACAAAGACUGGGACGCGUCCCCGGAUGAGUGUACCUGAAGAAAAAGCAUCGGCUAACUCCGUGCCAGCAGCCGCGGUAAUACGGAGGAUGCGAGCGUUAUCCGGAUUUAUUGGGUUUAAAGGGUGCGCAGGCGGUCUGUUAAGUCAGCGGUCAAAGCCCGGGGCUCAACCCCGGCCCGCCGUUGAAACUGG
Molecule: ribosomal RNA, 305 nt
Filed under: uncultured bacterium
Lineage: Bacteria
Description: bacterial SSU rRNA
Rfam family: Bacterial small subunit ribosomal RNA
Source: RNAcentral